RNAcentral lists this ribosomal RNA (496 nucleotides) under uncultured bacterium. Its description in RNAcentral is "partial 16S ribosomal RNA". It matches the Rfam family "Bacterial small subunit ribosomal RNA", at positions 29 to 507 of the family's 1533-position model. The record is from RNAcentral.
AUGAACGCUGGCGGCGUGCCUAAUACAUGCCAGUCGCGCGAACAGACGAGGAGCUUACUCCUCUGACGUUAGCGGCGGACGGGUGAGUAACACGUGGAUAACCUACCUAUAAGACUGGGAUAACUUCGGGAAACCGGAGCUAAUACCGGAUAACAUGUUGAACCGCAUGGUUCAACAGUGAAAGACGGUCUUGCUGUCACUUAUAGAUGGAUCCGCGUCGCAUUAGCUAGUUGGUAAGGUAACGGCUUACCAAGGCAACGAUGCGUAGCCGACCUGAGAGGGUGAUCGGCCGCACUGGAACUGAGACACGGUCCAGACUCCUACGGGAGGCAGCAGUAGGGAAUCUUCCGCAAUGGGCGAAAGCCUGACGGAGCAACGCCGCGUGAGUGAAGAAGGUCUUCGGAUCGUAAAACUCUGUUAUUAGGGAAGAACAAAUGUGUAAGUAACUAUGCACGUCUUGACGGUACCUAAUCAGAAAGCCACGGCUAACUACGUG